Long non-coding RNA from Daphnia carinata, 487 nucleotides. RefSeq lists it as uncharacterized. The transcript has 3 exons. The record is from RefSeq and is a predicted model, not a curated record. Lineage: Eukaryota; Metazoa; Arthropoda; Branchiopoda; Diplostraca; Daphniidae.
CAUUUGCCCAGUCGGAUGAACUUGGCCGGACUGGAUAGCCCUCCGACGUAACUGAUAAGAUUGCUGUCUACCACAGGACCCAAAACUUCAAGUAACAAAAGCAGCCAUUCGUUUGCGAACCCAGGCAGAAAUGUGCGCGUUGUGCUGAUUAUCUGGAUUGUGCGGAACGUCUCUACGGAAGGCUGUACCAAACACGAAUGUUUUGCAGUGAAUUGGCGAGCUGAUUGUGAACUCUUUUUCCCAACUGAUUCCGAAAUCGUGAGAACAAAUCAAGUUCAUGGCAAUGCUGUACUUUACUGAUGAACGACGUUUCAUCCACCCAACAAUCGCUGCCAACAAAGGAAGUUAAACGACGCACCUUCGGCACUGGCAAUUGUCUUUUUGAAUUUAACCAAUCGAGAUGUGAUGGGAAACGUAGAUGUUUUUGGCAACUCUGGACAACGUAAGGGGAAGUACAAUUCAGGAAUUAAAGCAGACUCAAACCAGA